This 857-nucleotide ribosomal RNA is filed under the name uncultured bacterium. RNAcentral's name for it is "SSU rRNA". It matches the Rfam family "Bacterial small subunit ribosomal RNA", at positions 524 to 1381 of the family's 1533-position model. The record is from RNAcentral.
UACGGGAGUGGCAAGCGUUAUCCGGAAUUAUUGGGCGUAAAGCGUCCGCAGGCGGUCUGUCAAGUCUGCUGUUAAAGCGUGGAGCUUAACUCCAUUAAGGCAGUGGAAACUGACAGACUAGAGUGUGGUAGGGGCAGAGGGAAUUCCCGGUGUAGCGGUGAAAUGCGUAGAUAUCGGGAAGAACACCAGUGGCGAAGGCGCUCUGCUGGGCCAUAACUGACGCUCAUGGACGAAAGCCAGGGGAGCGAAAGGGAUUAGAUACCCCUGUAGUCCUGGCCGUAAACGAUGAACACUAGGUGUCGGGGGAAUCGACCCCCUCGGUGUCGUAGCCAACGCGUUAAGUGUUCCGCCUGGGGAGUACGCACGCAAGUGUGAAACUCAAAGGAAUUGACGGGGGCCCGCACAAGCGGUGGAGUAUGUGGUUUAAUUCGAUGCAACGCGAAGAACCUUACCAGGGUUUGACAUCCUGCGAAUCCCUUGGAAACGAGGGAGUGCCUUCGGGAGCGCAGUGACAGGUGGUGCAUGGCUGUCGUCAGCUCGUGUCGUGAGAUGUUGGGUUAAGUCCCGCAACGAGCGCAACCCACGUCGUUAGUUGCCAGCAUUCAGUUGGGCACUCUAGCGAGACCGCCGGUGAUAAACCGGAGGAAGGUGUGGAUGACGUCAAGUCAUCAUGCCCCUUACAUCCUGGGCUACACACGUACUACAAUGCUACGGACAAAGGGCAGCAAACUCGCGAGAGCUAGCAAAUCCCAUAAACCGUGGCUCAGUUCAGAUCGUAGGCUGCAACUCGCCUACGUGAAGGAGGAAUCGCUAGUAAUCGCAGGUCAGCAUACUGCGGUGAAUACGUUCCCGGGCCU